This 1977-nucleotide ribosomal RNA is filed under the name Triticum aestivum (bread wheat). RNAcentral describes it as "partial small subunit ribosomal RNA". The record is from RNAcentral. Lineage: Eukaryota; Viridiplantae; Streptophyta; Magnoliopsida; Poales; Poaceae.
AUGACAGAGGAGGAGAAGCUCCUAAUCCGAACAUUCAAUACUGUGAAGCUACCAACAAGAAAAAUAAUGGCAAUCCUAAGUUACUUGAGAGGUGGAAACACUCCUUAUACCAAAAAGCAUGUCAGCAAUGUUAGGACAGCCAUUGGCAAAGAGAGCAAUCAAAAUGACAUGAUGCAGGUGCUAACAUAUUUCAGGAAGAGACAAGCUAAAGAUCCACAAUUUUACUAUGCGUUCAAGACAGCUAAAGUCUCUGAUGAAGCAAGUAAAGUUUUGUGCAUUUUCUGGGCUGAUGGGUAUUCUAGGAAGAUGUACGAGCUGUACGGAGACUGCCUCAGCUUUGACACAACAUUUAAGACAAACAGAUACAACCUUCCAUUUGCUCCCUUUGUUGGAAUCACAGGACAUGACCAAAACUGUUUGUUUGCUUGCUCUAUCAUUGAGAAUGAAAUAGCUGACACCUUCCAAUGGUUGUUUGAGAUGUUCUUGCAUUGCAUAGGUGGCAAAUCUCCAUCCACAAUCAUCACAGAUGAGGAUGCUGGGAUGAAGACAGCUAUCCCUCUAGUUUUCCCCCAUAUCUGUCACAGACGUUGUUUGUUUCAUAUUAAAAAGAAGGCCGAGGAAAAAUGUACUAGGACUUUUGCUGCAAAUAAAACCCUGCAUGAUGAUUUCAGUGACAUCAUACACAACUCUCUGACGGUGACUGAGUUUGAGAACUUGUGGACACAGAUGCUCCAGAAAUACAACAUUGGGCAUGUGAAGUAUUUCCAAAUCAUGUGGAAGAAAAGGAAAAGGUUUGUCCCUGUGUAUUUCAAGAAGAACUUCUUCCCCUUCAUUCACUCUACUGCACGUAGUGAAGGCACCAAUGCCAUAUUCAAGGACAACAUCACGUCAACUCACAAUGUGAUAAGCUUCCUACAAGAGUACCAGAAGAUUUCAGAAACUAUACAAGAUAAGGAGCGGGAGCAAGACUCUAUCACUAGAACAACUUCGCCAACAUUGUGGGCACGAAGUGAACUUGAGUUGCAAGCUGAAAAAAUGUACAACCGAAAGAUAUUUUAUAGAUUCCAACAACAGAUAAAGUUUGUGUUGAAUUUGCAUGUUGAAGAGGUUGAGAGAAAUGUGAAAUAUGAAGUUUACAAGACACCAAUGCUAGCUGAAAAAGAUUUCAGAACAAGAAGAUUUGUUGUGAUUGUGAACAUGCAGCAACAGGAGUUCAGUUGUAUUUGUGGGAAAUUUCAGAAGGAUGGCAUUGUGUGCAGCCAUGUCUUGAGAGUACUUUCUCAUCUCAACAUGUCUACGCUGCCAGAGAAAUAUUACAUAGACAGGUGGAGGCCAAAAAAUACAAAGGACAUACGGGACAUCCGUUUCAAUGUUCCUUUGGAACUGACUGCUGGAAGUCAACACUUAAGGUAUACCUUGCUCUCCAACAGGCUCAAUGAGAUGGCCUCAGAUGGUGCAUCAACAAACAGAAAAUAUCUAUAUGUUGUAGCAGAAAGUGAAAGGGUGCAACAGAGGUUGGAUGAGAUGACUAAAGAAGAUGAACUUGCAGAAGCACAACAAGCAAAUAUUGACAAGGACACAACAGAGUUUGAUGCAGGACCGCAUCCUGAUGGCUAUGGGGACAAUCUUCAGGAUCCUGAUGUUGCAGUAUCAAAAGGGCGUCCAAAAAAAGGACGUUACAAAACUUUCAUGGAAGGUUUACUAUCUAAACAGAAGUCACAUGCAGUCGUUGUGGGGAGCCUGAUCACUAUAAAAAUAGUUGUACGGCAAGACCUGAAGAUAUCGAUUUGGCUCACAAAGAAAAAGUCAGCCGCAAACAUGUCUCAGCCUCUGCUGGGACAUCUACAGAGAAGCAGCCAGCUCAUGCAAAACCGAGCAAGAAGGCGAGAAAAGGAAACUGAGAAACUGGGUGCUACAAGUUCAAGAAGGCAUUGGUUUGGUUUUUUGAUUGUCCCUGCGAGCACUGAAAAAAUGUAA